This 352-nucleotide unclassified non-coding RNA is filed under the name soil metagenome. Its description in RNAcentral is "partial contains 5.8S ribosomal RNA, internal transcribed spacer 2, and large subunit ribosomal RNA". The stretch from base 1 to 120 matches the Rfam family "5.8S ribosomal RNA", at positions 35 to 154 of the family's 154-position model. The record is from RNAcentral.
GAUGAAGAACGUAGCGAAAUGCGAUAAGUAAUGUGAAUUGCAGAAUUCAGUGAAUCAUCGAAUCUUUGAACGCACAUUGCGCCCGCCAGUAUUCUGGCGGGCAUGCCUGUUCGAGCGUCAUUACAACCCUCAGGCCCCCGGGCCUGGCGUUGGGGAUCGGCGGAGCCCCCCGUGGGCACACGCCGUCCCCCAAAUGCAGUGGCGGUCCCGCCGCAGCUUCCAUCGCGUAGUAGCUAACACCUCGCGACUGGAGAGCGGCGCGGCCACGCCGUAAAACACACAACUCUUCUGAAGUUGACCUCGAGUCAGGUAGGAAUACCCGCUGAACUUAAGCAUAUCAAUAAGCGGAGGA